Molecule: ribosomal RNA, 1302 nt
Filed under: Triticum aestivum (bread wheat)
Lineage: Eukaryota; Viridiplantae; Streptophyta; Magnoliopsida; Poales; Poaceae
Description: partial small subunit ribosomal RNA
Source: RNAcentral
AUGGCGUGCGAGACCCAGUACGCCUCGCGGUUGCCCGACGACGUCGUUCUGGAGAUACUUUCCUUCCUGCCGGCCAAGUCGAUCGGCCGCUUCCGCAGUAUGUCGCGUUCGUGGCGCGCCGAGCUCUCCUCAACGUCCUUCGUCGAGUUCCACCGCCGGCGAGCCAACAAUCCAGACCAGCCCAAGCUCUUCUUUAGCGCCAACUUCGACGACGAGGCAUCCGGUUCCGAAGACGACAACGAGGCAUCCGGUUCCGAAGACGACGGCGACCAGGCAUCCGACGAUUCCAAAGACAAUGACGAGGCAUCCGACGAUUCCAAAGACAACGACGAGGCAUCCGAAGAUUCCGAAGACGAAGAGGGCUACUUCUAUUCCUGGCAGCCCGGUGGUGGUUCGGUCAAGAAGCUCAUGGAAUACGAUUUCUGGUGCCCGGCACCUCUCACCAAGCCUCUCCACGGCCUUGUCCUCAUCCGAUCCGUUUUCUUGGGCGGUCACAACCUCGGUGAUGGCUACGACGUGUGCAACCCUUCCACCGGCGAGUUCUUGUAUCUUCCUGACACCAGGCUGCCAUUGAAGACGAUCAUCCGGUAUUCCAACACUCAAGACCAUCCGCCGUGCUACAUGGACGUUGCGUACGGUUUUGGUUACUCCUCCGUAACACACGAGUAUAAAGCGGUGCGUAUGUUCAGCUCUGGUUACGUCCCCGCCACCACCUGCUGCGAGGUUCUCGUCCUUGGUGUGCCGGCAUGUUGGAGGCCAACGGCCCAACAGCCCCCGGAGUGCGUCGUGGAGGAGCACAACCCCGCCGUGUUCUUGAACGGCUACCUGCAUUUUCUCUGCAAAGAUGGUGGCAUCAUCACUUUCAGUGUCAACGACGAGACUUUCGAUUCGUUGUCGCCGCCGCCGCCCUACGGGAACCCUUACCCAGAGGACGAUGCUAUAGUCUCCAGGCUGACAGAGCUGGACGGGUGCUUAUGCCUGUGCCGUGAGAAGACCAAUGGUGACGGGCCAUACCAAGUGUGGUUGCUGAGAGACCACGAGCCACAACAAUGGGAGCAGCUUUGCUCCUUCGACCGGAGCGUUUGGCCGGAGCCCGAGCAGACGCAGCUGCGGACACAGUGGAUAACUCCACUCACUAUGCACAAUGGCAGAAGCGGACAGAGAAAGAUUAUGUUCGGGACUGGUACUUGCAGGGUGUUCACCGUGGACCUCGACGGCGAGCCUGAGGUGCUGCUUAUUCCGGACGAAGCCAUGUCCGGAAAUAUCUGUGAUAGCAAAGAUUACCCAGCAGUCGGUUUGUGA